AUUGAACGCUGGCGGCAGGCCUAACACAUGCAAGUCGAGCGGCAGCGGGAAGUAGCUUGCUACUUUGCCGGCGAGCGGCGGACGGGUGAGUAAUGUCUGGGAAACUGCCCGAUGGAGGGGGAUAACUACUGGAAACGGUAGCUAAUACCGCAUAACGUCGCAAGACCAAAGAGGGGGACCUUCGGGCCUCUUGCCAUCGGAUGUGCCCAGAUGGGGUUAGCUAGUAGGUGGGGUAACGGCUCACCUAGGCGACGAUCCCUAGCUGGUCUGAGAGGAUGACCAGCCACACUGGAACUGAGACACGGUCCAGACUCCUACGGGAGGCAGCAGUGGGGAAUAUUGCACAAUGGGCGCAAGCCUGAUGCAGCCAUGCCGCGUGUAUGAAGAAGGCCUUCGGGUUGUAAAGUACUUUCAGCGGGGAGGAAGGCGAUGGAGUUAAUAGCUUCAUCGAUUGACGUUACCCGCAGAAGAAGCACCGGCUAACUCCGUGCCAGCCGCCGCGGUAA
Molecule: ribosomal RNA, 506 nt
Filed under: uncultured bacterium
Lineage: Bacteria
Description: partial 16S ribosomal RNA
Rfam family: Bacterial small subunit ribosomal RNA
Source: RNAcentral